AGAGUUUGAUCAUGGCUCAGAACGAACGCUGGCGGCGUGCUUAACACAUGCAAGUCGAACGAGAAAGCUUCCUUCGGGAAGUAAGUAGAGUGGCGCACGGGUGAGUAACGCGUAGGUAAUCUACCCUUAUAACUGGGAUAACAUUGGGAAACUGGUGCUAAUACCGGAUACACUUCUUUACUGCGGGGUAAAGGAGGAAAGGUGGCCUCUUCAUGAAAGCUACCGUAUAGGGAUGAGCCUGCGUACCAUUAGCUAGUAGGCGGGGUAACGGCCCACCUAGGCAACGAUGGUUAGCGGGUCUGAGAGGAUGAUCCGCCACACUGGAACUGGAACACGGACCAGACUCCUACGGGAGGCAGCAGUGAGGAAUAUUGCGCAAUGGGGGAAACCCUGACGCAGCGACGCCGCGUGAGUGAGGAAGGUUUUCGGAUCGUAAAGCUCUGUCAGAAGGGAAGAAGUGUUAUAUGUUUAAUAUGCAUAUAAUUUGACGGUACCUUCAGAGGAAGCACCGGCUAACUCCGUGCCAGCAGCCGCGGUAAUACGGAGGGUGCAAGCGUUGUUCGGAAUUACUGGGCGUAAAGGGCGCGUAGGCGGCUGGAUAAGUCAGAUGUGAAAGUCCAUGGCUCAACUGUGGAAGUGCAUUUGAAACUGUCCGGCUUGAGUAUCGGAGGGGAGUGUGGAAUUCCCGGUGUAGAGGUGAAAUUCGUAGAGAUCGGGAGGAACACCGGUGGCGAAGGCGACACUCUGGACGAAUACUGACGCUGAGGCGCGAAAG
Molecule: ribosomal RNA, 775 nt
Filed under: uncultured bacterium
Lineage: Bacteria
Description: bacterial SSU rRNA
Rfam family: Bacterial small subunit ribosomal RNA
Source: RNAcentral